Molecule: ribosomal RNA, 497 nt
Filed under: uncultured bacterium
Lineage: Bacteria
Description: partial 16S ribosomal RNA
Rfam family: Bacterial small subunit ribosomal RNA
Source: RNAcentral
GACGAACGCUGGCGGCGUGCCUAAUACAUGCAAGUAGAACGCUGAAGAGAGGAGCUUGCUCUUCUUGGAUGAGUUGCGAACGGGUGAGUAACGCGUAGGUAACCUGCCUGGUAGCGGGGGAUAACUAUUGGAAACGAUAGCUAAUACCGCAUAAAAUUGAUUAUUGCAUGAUAAUUAAUUGAAAGAUGCAACUGCAUCACUACCAGAUGGACCUGCGUUGUAUUAGCUAGUUGGUGAGGUAACGGCUCACCAAGGCGACGAUACAUAGCCGACCUGAGAGGGUGAUCGGCCACACUGGGACUGAGACACGGCCCGGACUCCUACGGGAGGCAGCAGUAGGGAAUCUUCGGCAAUGGGGGGAACCCUGACCGAGCAACGCCGCGUGAGUGAAGAAGGUUUUCGGAUCGUAAAGCUCUGUUGUAAGAGAAGAACGGGUGUGAGAGUGGAAAGUUCACACUGUGACGGUAUCUUACCAGAAAGGGACGGCUAACUACGUG